RNAcentral lists this long non-coding RNA (711 nucleotides) under Citrus sinensis (sweet orange). RNAcentral's name for it is "long non-coding RNA (CSIN_LNC003797)". The record is from RNAcentral. Lineage: Eukaryota; Viridiplantae; Streptophyta; Magnoliopsida; Sapindales; Rutaceae.
AGCAGGAAUAUUCUGCUCGUCCACCAAUAUGCCAUUCGCGAGGCGGAACCCUUGCUAGAGGCAUAGAGUCACUCCCGCUAGGGUUCGAGGCGAGGAGACCCGGUCAACGGCAGUUGGCGAGACGUGCCUUCCUAUCCGAGAAUCAAGGCACGAGGUCCAUCUCCAUUCGCCCAUCAUGAAGAUAAUGGGACAUCCACAUCCGAGCGUGGGGAGAACAACGGGCGUAAACUGCGGAAGACCGGGACUCAGAGGAAGCCUAUAAAAAGGUAGCCAACGAAGGUAAAAGGGUUAGCAAUUUUGAUUCUAAAAGAGAGAAAACAACCUAACAGCCAUAAGAUUGGUGGCAAGCGUUCCCCAAAUCUUCAUAUCUGACUUGAGCGUCGGAGGGUUUGCGCCGGGAAAACAACCGGCGUACUCUGACCUGUCUGUGUGCGCAGGAACCUCUGGAGAAGAAGCUUUACGAGGAGAGAUCCUGGUCGUGGUGAAGUUGAUCGAGCAGAAACCCUGGUCGUAGAACGUGGAUAACCAGAAUCUCGCAUCAACAAAAAUGAACAUAUUGCAUCUGCUUGAGUCUUCACAUGCAAAGCUAGAAUAUCACAUGAGCACUUUAUUCAGUCCACUAGCAGCUUCCAAAAAGACGAGUCAACAUCUAAUUGGAGGAAGUAUUGAAGAAUUGUUUGAUAAGCUUCUUGUCCCUUCUUUCCAUUGCCA